GAGGGGAGUGAAAUAGAUUCUGAAACCAUUUACUUACAAGUAGUCAGAGCACGUUAAAGUGUGAUGGCGUACAUCUUGCAGUAUGGGCCGGCGAGUUAUGUUAAUAUGCAAGGUUAAGCAGAAAAAAGCGGAGCCGUAGGGAAACCGAGUCUGAAUAGGGCGACUUUAGUAUAUUGGCAUAUACCCGAAACCAGGUGAUCUAUCCAUGAGCAGGUUGAAGCUUAGGUAAAACUAAGUGGAGGACCGAACCGUAGUACGCUAAAAAGUGCCCGGAUGACUUGUGGAUAGCGGUGAAAUUCCAAUCGAACCUGGAGAUAGCUGGUUCUCUUCGAAAUAGCUUUAGGGCUAGCGUAUAGUAUUGUUUAAUGGGGGUAGAGCACUGAAUGUGGAAUGGCGGCAUCUAGCUGUACUGACUAUAAUCAAACUCCGAAUACCAUUAAAAUUAAGCUAUGCAGUCGGAACGUGGGUGAUAACGUCCACGCUCGCGAGGGAAACAACCCAGAUCGUCAGCUAAGGUCCCAAAAUUGUGUUAAGUGAGAAAGGUUGUGAGAUUUCAUAAACAACUAGGAAGUUGGCUUAGAAGCAGCCACCUUUUAAAGAGUGCGUAAUUGCUCACUAGUCAAGAGAUCUUGCGCCAAUAAUGUAACGGGACUCAAACACAAUACCGAAGCUACGGGCACAUUAUGUGCGUUAGGAGAGCGUUUUAAUUUCGUUGAAGUCAGACCGUGAGGACUGGUGGAGAGAUUAAAAGUGAGAAUGCCGGCAUGAGUAACGAUUCGAAGUGAGAAUCUUCGACGCCUAUUGGGAAAGGUUUCCUGGGCAAGGUUCGUCCACCCAGGGUUAGUCAGGGCCUAAGAUGAGGCAGAAAUGCAUAGUCGAUGGACAACAGGUUAAUAUUCCUGUACUUGGUAAAAGAAUGAUGGAGUGACGAAAAAGGAUAGUUCUACCACUUACUGGAUUGUGGGGUAAGCAACAAGAGAGUUAUAUAGGCAAAUCCGUAUAGCAUAAUCUUGAGUUGUGAUGCAUAGUGAAGACUUCGGUCGAGUAACGAAUUGAAUGAUUUCAUGUUUCCAAGAAAAGCUUCUAGUGUUAAUUUUUUAUCAACCUGUACCGAGAACGAACACACGUUCCCAAGAUGAGUAUUCUAAGGCGAGCGAGAAAACCAAUGUUAAGGAACUCUGCAAAAUAACCCCGUAAGUUCGCGAGAAGGGGCGCCUAUUUUUAAUAGGCCACAGAAAAUAGGGGGGGCAACUGUUUAUUAAAAACACAGCUCUCUGCUAAGUUGUAAAACGACGUAUAGAGGGUGAAGCCUGCCCAGUGCCCGAAGGUUAAACGGAGAUGUUAGCUUACGCAAAGCAUUAAAGUGAAGCCCGGGUGAACGGCGGCCGUAACAAUAACGGUCCUAAGGUAGCGAAAUUCCUUGUCAACUAAUUAUUGACCUGCACGAAAGGCGCAAUGAUCUCCCUACUGUCUCAACAUUGGACUCGGUGAAAUUAUGGUACCAGUGAAAACGCUGGUUACCCGCAUCAAGACGACAAGACCCCGUGGAGCUUUACUAUAACUUCGUAUUGAAAAUUGGUUUAGCAUGUGUAGGAUAGGUGGGAGACUUUGAAGCUGGGACGCUAGUUCUAGUGGAGUCAACCUUGAAAUACCACCCUUGCUAAAUUGAUUUUCUAACCCGGGUGUGGAUAGCGGUGAAAUUCCAAUCGAACCUGGAGAUAGCUGGUUCUCUUCGAAA
RNAcentral lists this ribosomal RNA (1738 nucleotides) under Haloglomus irregulare. RNAcentral describes it as "Bacterial large subunit ribosomal RNA". It matches the Rfam family "Bacterial large subunit ribosomal RNA", at positions 531 to 2294 of the family's 2925-position model. Lineage: Archaea; Methanobacteriati; Methanobacteriota; Halobacteria; Halobacteriales; Natronomonadaceae. The record is from Rfam by way of RNAcentral.